RNAcentral lists this ribosomal RNA (253 nucleotides) under uncultured bacterium. Its description in RNAcentral is "partial 16S ribosomal RNA". It matches the Rfam family "Bacterial small subunit ribosomal RNA", at positions 524 to 776 of the family's 1533-position model. The record is from RNAcentral.
UACGGAGGGGGCUAGCGUUGUUCGGAAUUACUGGGCGUAAAGCGCGCGUAGGCGGCUUUGUAAGUUAGAGGUGAAAGCCCGGAGCUCAACUCCGGAACUGCCUUUAAGACUGCAUCGCUAGAAUCAUGGAGAGGUGAGUGGAAUUCCGAGUGUAGAGGUGAAAUUCGUAGAUAUUCAGAAGAACACCAGUGGCGAAGGCGACUCACUGGACGUGUAUUGACGCUGAGGUGCGAAAGCGCGGGGAGCAAACAGG